GCUGAACUUAAUGCUUCCAUCAAAAAUUUAAUUUCUAAAAUCAAAGUCAGGUGGCAAUCUGGCCGAAACAAUUCAGGAGAACUAAACAUAAAAGAUGCAAUACAGGCUGCGCUUCAAUCAUCCAUGAUGGAUGUAUUACUACCUGAUCCAUUGACCUUUGGGUUUAGGUGUGGCAAUAAUACUUCACAAAAUUCUUCUGACCUUAAUAUGGAUGAAGGAUCUAAUAUUCAGGGUGCGCGUAAAGGUUCAGUAAAAGCUCAUGACACGACACCAGUAGAAGUGCUGGUUCGCAAUAAUACCAAGGAAAUGAUUAGAGUCAGUCUUAGCAUCACAUGCAGAGAUAUAGCUGGGGAGAACUGUGUCGAGGGUGAUAAAGCGACAGUGCUAUGGGCAGGUGUUCUGAAUGGUAUCACCAUGGAGGUACCUCCAUUGAAGGAAUAUAGACAUUCGUUCUCCUUGUAUUUCCUGGUUCCAGGUGAGUACACACUUUUAGCUGCUGCUGUGAUUGAUGAUGCUAAUGAAAUGCUCCGAGCCAGAGCAAGAGCUAAUUCAUGUGAUGAGUCCAUAUUUUGUCGUGGGCCACCGUUCCAUAUCCGAGUGAAUGGGACUAUGUGAUAUCCUUAUUGAAGUGUCCAUAGUUUACUAAACCAGGUGAAACUUUCCAGCCUCAACUAUUUGUAGAACUUGUUAUUUGCACUUCGUAUUUCUUGUAAUUCCUCCUUAUAUAGAGGUCCAUUUUGUUUAGGAGAAAACUGUAUCACUCAGUUUCCAAUUGAUAUACAAUAGGAUUCUACAGUGAUUUGUAAAGCUAUAUUAUUCAAUGAAGAGCUG
This 831-nucleotide unclassified non-coding RNA is filed under the name Hevea brasiliensis (rubber tree). Lineage: Eukaryota; Viridiplantae; Streptophyta; Magnoliopsida; Malpighiales; Euphorbiaceae. The record is from RNAcentral.